AACGAACGCUGGCGGCAUGCCUAACACAUGCAAGUCGAACGAGACCUUCGGGUCUAGUGGCGCACGGGUGCGUAACGCGUGGGAAUCUGCCCUUGGGUCUGGAAUAACAGUUAGAAAUGACUGCUAAUACCGGAUGAUGACUUCGGUCCAAAGAUUUAUCGCCCAGGGAUGAGCCCGCGUCGGAUUAGCUAGUUGGUGAGGUAAAAGCUCACCAAGGCGACGAUCCGUAGCUGGUCUGAGAGGAUGAUCAGCCACACUGGGACUGAGACACGGCCCAGACUCCUACGGGAGGCAGCAGUGGGGAAUAUUGGACAAUGGGCGAAAGCCUGAUCCAGCAAUGCCGCGUGAGUGAUGAAGGCCUUAGGGUUGUAAAGCUCUUUUACCCGGGAUGAUAAUGACAGUACCGGGAGAAUAAGC
This 417-nucleotide ribosomal RNA is filed under the name bacterium Ellin5044. RNAcentral describes it as "bacterial SSU rRNA". It matches the Rfam family "Bacterial small subunit ribosomal RNA", at positions 29 to 491 of the family's 1533-position model. The record is from RNAcentral. Lineage: Bacteria; Pseudomonadati; Pseudomonadota; Alphaproteobacteria; Sphingomonadales; Sphingomonadaceae.